GUUACACUAAAGUUAAUUAGCCAACAAAUGAUUUGACAAUAACUACCUAGUUAUUCAAGUGGUGAACACACUUACCCUCACACUUAUCUGCAUGACUGUUCAGAGGGAAUAAUCAGGACUGUUACUGUACAUGCUUUUGUUCUGAUGUCCAGGCGUGCAUGCUGAGUCAGAGAGACUGAAGGCGUCUCUGGUUGAGACAGCCUGUGAGCUCACAAGGCUCCAGAGAGAGAGUGACAUGCUGAGGGAGGAGAGAGAGAGGCUGACAGAGGGGCUCGCACGCUCUGAGGACAACAACAGGAGCCUGGAGGGCUCACUUAGCUCCACACAGGAAGAGAUAGACAGGUUGAAGGGAGAACUCGAUGCCUAUCAAAAACAGCUCACCAACAGCAAUGAGCUCCUCAAGUCAUUUUGUGAGGAGAUGCAGGGGUCCAAGCAGAUGAGGACAGCUGCAGUCAACCCCACUGCAUCAGAGUUUGGAGGCGGUCUCCCGGACAACCCCAAGCUAAAUCAACUCCUCUCUGAGAUCCAGCGAAUCAGAGCACAGCUUGCCGAUAAGGACACAAUACAGACUAAAGCCACAGAGGAGAAACACCCUGAGCAUUCUGGUUGGCCCGAGUGCCCUCCAACAAACAUCAACAUCAACUAUGUGGAGUGUGGAGCAUCCAGGCAUUCAAGCAGGAGCAGUCCUUCAGGGAGAAGAGAUCAUGCCAAGAAGGACAAUGACAACCUCUCACAAAGCAGCCUUACCUCCAGCAUAGAUGACUCGGUCCCAUCCUUACUGAACAGUAGCCUAUCCCCACUGUGGGCAAAUGACAAGAGCCCUAAUGUCACUGGCCAGGAGGAUGAUUGCAUCAACCUGCAGAGACUGAUAUCAGAAGGGAAGACAAUGACCAAUAAGAUGAGUAGGCUACUACAGGAGUGCCACAACAACAACUCCAAUCCCACAUCACAGUCAGCAGUGGACCAGAAGUACAUCAAGCAUCUCUCAUCUACCAUCGGUGCCUGUCAUCUUCUGAGGCUCCAAGAGAGGCGUUCUCAGAGUGACUCUGUGAAUAUCUACCAGAGCCAAGAGGAUUUCUACUUGGAAAACCUGAAACUGAAGAAUAAAAUUGAGAUAAUGAAGAGGGAGCAAUCUCAAAACAAGAAGAUGCUUUCUGAGGCCGUCAAACGACUGAGAAGAGUGAACCUGGGGAAAGUAGGGAGAGUGAGUGAAUAGCAGCAAAUGAUCAUCAUUCCACUAAGCCAAUCUUUGUUUCAUAGAUUCAAAUAGAAAGAAUGAGAGCUUCCCUCAUCAGUCUUAAUAAAAGAUUGCCAUUGCAAUGCUGUUGUUUCUCUCAAUUCUGUGUUGUAUUUUUGGACAGAUUAAUCAAUGUAGAAAUGUGCCAUAUAAAUUUGACGCACAUGAUAAGCUUAUGCACUGAUGCCACGUUCACGUGCUAGUCGGAACUAGGAAAC
Molecule: long non-coding RNA, 1455 nt
Filed under: Salmo trutta (river trout)
Lineage: Eukaryota; Metazoa; Chordata; Actinopteri; Salmoniformes; Salmonidae
Description: lncRNA (ENSSTUG00000049361.1)
Source: RNAcentral